GGGUGUGGUGGUGAUCUGGCUAGGACAUCUGUCACCCCAUCGAUCCAUUCAGCUGAUCAGGCUGGCUAGGCAGAUGUCCCCUUCCUCCCUCUCCACUCCAUAUACAUUCUUCCCGAAGCUGUUCACAUGGUCAAGGAGGACCCUCCCUGAAUAGAGGAGGACCAAUCAGUGGGGGGGGGGGGAGUUAUGUAUACAAGUAGCUGUGCUCCCCAGCUAGAACCUCCAAAGAGGCUCUCAAUAACUAAUAACAUGUACACAAAUCAUUCCCUCUAACCACCUAGAUCCUGAAACUCUGUGGGAGCAGGAGGGGAUUAUUCA
This 318-nucleotide small nuclear RNA is filed under the name Peromyscus maniculatus bairdii (prairie deer mouse). RNAcentral describes it as "7SK RNA (ENSPEMG00000002095.2)". It matches the Rfam family "7SK RNA", at positions 1 to 278 of the family's 331-position model. Rfam says of the family: 7SK was discovered as an abundant small nuclear RNA in the mid-70s but a possible function has only recently been suggested. Two independent studies have found that 7SK RNA binds the CDK9/cyclin T complex (known as elongation factor P-TEFb). P-TEFb activates transcription by phosphorylating the C-terminal domain of RNA polymerase II. The record is from RNAcentral. Lineage: Eukaryota; Metazoa; Chordata; Mammalia; Rodentia; Cricetidae.